AUGAAUCAAGCCGACUCAAACACAGCAGCUAUUCCACAUGCAGUGGAAGAUAUUCAAGGAGACGACAGAUGGAUAUCUCAGCACAACAGAUUUGUCCUGGAUGGUAAAGACAAAAAGCCUAACGUUGUGUUUGUGGGAGACCCCAUGGUGCAGUUAAUGCAGCAACACGAGAUAUGGCGAGAGCUUUUUUCCCCGUUUCACGCACUGAAUUUUAGAACUGAGGAAGAUACAAGACAUGUUUUAUAGAAAAUAAAGAGUAGAGAACUGGAGAAUAUUAAACUUAAGGUCAUUGUUCUCUGGGUAAAAACAAACAACCAUGAAAAUACAGCAGUAGAGUUAGAAGGUAGGAUCAAGGCCAUCAUUCACUCUACCAAUUUAUCAACAUAAGGCAGCCACAAGGCAAAAUUCUUGUAUUGGAUGUGUUACCUUGAGGUGAGAAGCCCAACACUUUGAGGCAAAAGGUGAACCAGCUUCUCAAGGUUUCCUUGCUGAAGCUUGCCCAUGUGUAGGUCCUGCAUACAGACGGGGGCUUCAUGCACCCUGACAGUGCCAUCUCCUGCCAUGACAUAUUUGAUUCUCUUCAUCUUACAGGAGAGGGCUCUGCAAAGAUCUGCAGAGCCCUCUAUGAACUGAUCAUGCAGCUGAUGGAGGAACACCCAAGGAGAGAAACAAACCACCAUUGCCUGA
This 687-nucleotide long non-coding RNA is filed under the name Homo sapiens (human). RNAcentral's name for it is "non-protein coding lnc-IKBIP-16:5". Lineage: Eukaryota; Metazoa; Chordata; Mammalia; Primates; Hominidae. The record is from RNAcentral.